RNAcentral lists this ribosomal RNA (220 nucleotides) under Salmonella enterica subsp. enterica serovar Kentucky. RNAcentral describes it as "partial 16S ribosomal RNA". It matches the Rfam family "Bacterial small subunit ribosomal RNA", at positions 314 to 542 of the family's 1533-position model. Lineage: Bacteria; Pseudomonadati; Pseudomonadota; Gammaproteobacteria; Enterobacterales; Enterobacteriaceae. The record is from RNAcentral.
UGGAACUGAGACACGGUCCAGACUCCUACGGGAGGCAGCAGUGGGGAAUAUUGCACAAUGGGCGCAAGCCUGAUGCAGCCAUGCCGCGUGUAUGAAGAAGGCCUUCGGGUUGUAAAGUACUUUCAGCUCUUCAACCGACCGGCUGUUUGUGUGAAGUGAUUCACAUCCGCCGUGUCGAUGGAGGCGCAUUAUAGGGAUCCCAUUUUUUUGCACAAGCGUU